GGAGAUUCCAAGAGAGUGGUUGAAUGUAAUAAGAAUCCUCUGCUUCAAAUAAAUUCACUGUUCUAACAAAUACAUGUUUAUCCAAGCUUCCAUUACAACUUGAGUUAAAAGGUUCAUGGUUGAAUUGUCAAAAUAAAGAUAUCAAUUACUCACAUCUAAUUAGAUGUUUAUCCAAGCUUCCAUUAGGCAUAAACUCAUACACCAAAAGCCGGUGGCCAUCCUCUAAGCAAUAGCCAAUCAAUUUCACAACAUUUGGCUGAUAUAGCUGGCCCAGGUACUUUAUUUCAGCCUAUUGUCCAAGAAACAUCACCAAACUUGAUCGACAAUAUAAUUCUUUUAAAAUGUCAUCCGUGUAUAGAAAACUACUUAGAGCAAGAUCUUUAUACAUGUUCUUAUAAUUGUACCCCAAAAGAAAAAAAUUCCACAAUCUUUCAUGAUUAUGACUGGCUUAAUGUGACAUUAAAUUGCAUUUUGCAGCACUAAAUACAAAUUCACAUUAUUUUAUGGCAUGUUUAAGAGUUAACACUUAAGUGGGUGCAAAAGCAUUAGAAACAAGCAGAAAGCUAAAAGAUUGCAUAAGUGACGCGGUGCACAAAUAUAUACCAGACUCGAAGACAUAUUUUUUCCUAUAUUUUCACGAGGAUUCCUAAUUCUAAUGGGAUUCUUUAUUUGCCUAAAUAGGUUUUUUUUUUUGGUAAGAUGCCUACAUAGGUUUUAUUUAUAUUUUCUACUUUAUUUAUGAUUCUAAAAUAUUAUUUCUUUUUAAUUUAGGUCUUUGAAUAUGUUUUUUAUUUAAAUUAGACUCUUUAAUUUAUUUCUACCUAGGUUAGGAUUUAGAACUCUAUAAAUACCCAUUGUGUACAAGUUUUUAGAUAUAUUCAAUGAAGUCUUUUUCUUUAUAAAGCUGUCUUUACUUUAUUUAUCCUUAGAUUUUAGAUUAAAUCUUGUUUAUUUUAAAGUCUUGGGUUAGAUCUUGUUUAUUUUCAAGGAUUUGAUACUGUGUCGAUCCUUUUUCCACGUUACAUGCCGCGUCAAGAAAGGAUACUCACCAACCAUUCUUGUUGACCCUGGCAACCCGUUUGGUCAAGCACCUUAACAGCAAUAGUCAUGCCAGUCUCAGGCAUCACAGCAUUCAAUGAAUUCUCAUCAAUCCAGCCUUUGAAGACACAACCAAAGCCACCUUUACCUAACACAUUACCUGGGCUGAAGUUCUUUGUGGCUUCUUUCAAUUCACUGAAGCAAAAGUUCUUCAAAUUAGGUGAGUCCAGGAUCUUCCCCUUUGUUUGAUGAUUCGAAGGAACUUUGGUGUGUGAUUUGCUAGGAGUUUUUGGGUUAUCCCCAUAGUGACAAAAACCCUUAGGUCUGUCGGCUGAACUAAAGCACAAGCCCAUGAAGACAAAGAUGAAUACCAGCAAAGAAGCUUGACCCUGAAAACAAAGAGAAGAAUACAAGGGCUUUGUACAGUUAGCUUACCUGUUCCCUUGAACAAGAAGGUCCGAUUGCAAACUUGACUGACACCGUGUGGUCCCCUUUACUGCUUCGCGGAAACUCUAUUCACUCGGAAACUUCUAUUUAUUUGUAUAUUAUCUUUUCUUUUUUCAAUUUAAUUCUCACCUGCUGCAAACACUAAAUUUCAAAGCUUAUUGGUUUAUUUAUAUUAAAAAUAACAAAGAGUAAAUUGAGUUUAAUUAUACCAAAAUCAUCCUUAUAACAAUGAGAUUUUGAGUUGGAAUCACUAAAAAUAGAUAGAUGCCCAACUGCACCAGAUCAUAGGAAAAGCAAUAAUUGUUAAUAAUUUUAUUAUCCAAAAUCAGAUUAGGCAAGGAUUUCUCUUGCUAUUAUGCAGCUUAAAUUAUUGGAAAAAUGGUAUGCCCUUGUUUUACAUAUACAAAUCUCAAGCAUAUCCAACAUACUCUUGCAGCUGUGGAAUCCAGAAAGUAGCAGAAGUAACCAUUUCCUUCUGGAGAACAAUAAGAUUUUUUUGGAAACUAUCUAUCAAUUGUCUAGACAUCACAAACUGGAUGUGAAUUGGAUUUUCUGUAAUCUAUUCCUUAACCAACAGAGAUGAGAGUUGCACAGUUC
RNAcentral lists this unclassified non-coding RNA (2082 nucleotides) under Hevea brasiliensis (rubber tree). Lineage: Eukaryota; Viridiplantae; Streptophyta; Magnoliopsida; Malpighiales; Euphorbiaceae. The record is from RNAcentral.